AUACUCUGGUUUCUCUUCAGCUUGUAUAAAUCUUUUGCCUUUUGCUAAAGAUUUCUGUGGGGAGGAACAUUUAUGAGUUUCUACUCAAUUUUGUGAGGCUUCACUUUGGUGAGGGG
Molecule: small nuclear RNA, 116 nt
Organism: Chelonoidis abingdonii (Abingdon island giant tortoise)
Lineage: Eukaryota; Metazoa; Chordata; Testudines; Testudinidae
Gene: U5
Rfam family: U5 spliceosomal RNA
About the family: U5 RNA is a component of both types of known spliceosome.
Source: Ensembl